ACUACGGGUGGCAGCAGUGAGGAAUAUUGGUCAAUGGGAGAGAUCCUGAACCAGCCAAGCCGCGUGAGGGAAGACGGCCCUAUGGGUUGUAAACCUCUUUUGUCGGAGAACAAAACCCGGGACGUGUCCCGGACUGCGUGUAUCCGAAGAAAAAGCAUCGGCUAACUCCGUGCCAGCAGCCGCGGUAAUACGGAGGAUGCGAGCGUUAUCCGGAUUUAUUGGGUUUAAAGGGUGCGUAGGCGGUCCGUUACGUCAGCGGUAAAAGUGCGGGGCUCAACCCCGUCGAGCCGUUGAAACUGGCAGACUUGAGUUGGCGAGAAGUACGCGGAAUGCGCGGUGUAGCGGUGAAAUGCAUAGAUAUCGCGCAGAACUCCGAUUGCGAAGGCAGCGUACCGGCGCCAGACUGACGCUGAGGCACGAAAGCGUGGGGAUCGAACAGGAUUAGAUACCCUUGUAGUC
Molecule: ribosomal RNA, 459 nt
Filed under: uncultured bacterium
Lineage: Bacteria
Description: partial 16S ribosomal RNA
Rfam family: Bacterial small subunit ribosomal RNA
Source: RNAcentral